This 253-nucleotide ribosomal RNA is filed under the name uncultured bacterium. Its description in RNAcentral is "partial 16S ribosomal RNA". It matches the Rfam family "Bacterial small subunit ribosomal RNA", at positions 524 to 776 of the family's 1533-position model. The record is from RNAcentral.
UACGUAGGGGGCAAGCGUUGUCCGGAAUCAUUGGGCGUAAAGAGCGUGUAGGCGGUCCGGUAAGUCCGUUGUGAAAGUCAGGGGCUCAACCCUUGAAUGCCGGCGGAUACUGUCGGGCUAGAGUCCGGAAGAGGCGAGUGGAAUUCCCGGUGUAGCGGUGAAAUGCGCAGAUAUCGGGAGGAACACCUAUGGCGAAGGCAGCUCGCUGGGACGGUACUGACGCUGAGACGCGAAAGCGUGGGGAGCAAACAGG